UACGAAGGGGGCUAGCGUUGUUCGGAGUUACUGGGCGUAAAGGGCGCGUAGGCGGCGCACCAAGUCAGGCGUGAAGGCCCUGGGCUCAACCCGGGAAUUGCGCUUGAGACUGGUGUGCUCGAGUACGGGAGAGGAUAGUGGAAUUCCCAGUGUAGAGGUGAAAUUCGUAGAUAUUGGGAAGAACACCGGUGGCGAAGGCGGCUAUCUGGACCGUAACUGACGCUGAGGCGCGAAAGCGUGGGGAGCAAACAGG
RNAcentral lists this ribosomal RNA (253 nucleotides) under uncultured bacterium. Its description in RNAcentral is "partial 16S ribosomal RNA". It matches the Rfam family "Bacterial small subunit ribosomal RNA", at positions 524 to 776 of the family's 1533-position model. The record is from RNAcentral.